GACGAACGCUGGCGGCGUGCUUUCUCUUUGCAAGUCGAACGAUGAAGUUCCUUCGGGAAUGGAUUAGUGGCGAACGGGUGAGGAACACGUGAGGAAUCUGCCCAUCAUUUUGGGAUAACACCGGGAAACCGGUGCUAAUACCGAAUACUCCGUCUUGGCGGCAUCGCUAAGCCGGGAAAGAAUUUCGAUGAUGGAUGAUCUCGCGGCCUAUCAGCUAGUUGGUGAGGUAACGGCUCACCAAGGCAACGACGGGUAGCCGGCCUGAGAGGGCGACCGGCCACACUGGGACUGAGACACGGCCCAAACUCCUACGGGAGGCAGCAGUAGGGAAUAUUGGGCAAUGGGCGCAAGCCUGACCCAGCGACGCCGCGUGAGGGAUGAAGGUCUUCGGAUUGUAAACCUCUUUCAGUAGGGAAGAAGCGAAAGUGACGGUACCUAAAGAAGAAGCACCGGCUAACUAUGUG
RNAcentral lists this ribosomal RNA (464 nucleotides) under uncultured bacterium. Its description in RNAcentral is "bacterial SSU rRNA". It matches the Rfam family "Bacterial small subunit ribosomal RNA", at positions 28 to 507 of the family's 1533-position model. The record is from RNAcentral.